AUUACUGGAAAAGGCAAGAGUAGAGCUAUCAGGAUGUCUUCCUUGAACAUGCUGUCAACAAACCCCAGGAUUUUAUAAACCCUAUGUGAAAAACCCGCUAAGAAUCUCUUUUCUUCUUAGCAUAUUUUUUCACUUAGAGUUUACAAAAACAUGUUUUGAAGAAAGCUUGAAAAGAUCAGUGGAAAAAAAUUCAGCACCAAAUUUUCUCUGAAAAUCAACUUGUCAAAAAAGACGUGAUUAACGUCCAUCCUGUAACUAGCGCAUGAAUGAUCUUCCCCCUUUACGAAUGUGCUUCAGCAAAACUUUAAUCUUGACCCCUCCUUCUUUCCACUUUUAAUAGUGGAUGGGUGAAAAGGCAAGAGGAAAAACAAAGCAGCCGAAACACACCCAGACGCACACUUCUGCCAAGCAUAGCCACCAUGUGUUAAGGAAAAUGAGAUAUAAGUCAGUUACUCCCGGAGGCAAUGCUGCUGUUCAGCUCUUCUGUUUUUGUGGGCAGGGUCUUCAUGAACACUAAUGGGGGUACCAGGCCCUCUUCCUCAUUAGAAGAAAUCAGGAUAACAAAGGCAUAUUGGGCA
Molecule: small RNA, 578 nt
Filed under: Pongo abelii (Sumatran orangutan)
Lineage: Eukaryota; Metazoa; Chordata; Mammalia; Primates; Hominidae
Description: processed transcript
Source: RNAcentral